This is an RNA transcript of Myotis myotis, 3079 nucleotides long. It is a transcript of the gene named xyloside xylosyltransferase 1, with no coding region annotated. NCBI's taxonomy places the organism in Eukaryota, Metazoa, Chordata, Mammalia, Chiroptera, Vespertilionidae. The record is from RefSeq and is a predicted model, not a curated record. The transcript is spliced from 6 exons.
CUCCGUCCCCGCCAUGGCCGCCGCCCGCCGCCGGUGCAGCUAAGUGGCUGCCGGACGACGGGUUUCCGCGGCUCCUCUCCGGCGGCUGGGUGCCGUGUCCUGGCCGCAUGGGCAUCCUCCGAGGCGGGCCCCCGUGCGCUCGGGCCAUGGCGCGCCUGGGCGCGGUGCGUUCCCAUUACUGCGCGCUGUUGCUGGCCGCGGCGCUCGCCGUCUGUGCCUUCUACUACCUGGGCUCGGGCCGGGAGACCUUCUCCAGCGCCACCAAGAGGCUGAAGGAGGCCCGCGCCGGAGCCCCCGCGCCGCCCUCCCCGCCGGUGCCGGAACAGGCGCGCGGGUCCGUGGCGCCCGCCCUGGGUGCCAAGGCCAAGAGCCUGGAUGGCGGCGCGGCCGGUCCGGUGGACUACCACCUGCUGAUGAUGUUCACCAAGGCGGAGCACAACGCCGCGCUGCAGGCCAAGGCCCGCGUCGCGCUGCGCUCCCUGCUGCGCCUUGCCAAGUUCGAGGCUCAUGAGGUGCUUAACCUGCACUUCGUGAGCGAGGAGGCCAGCCGCGAGGUGGCCAAGGCCCUGCUGCGGGAGCUGCUGCCGCCCGCCGCCGGCUUCAAGUGCAAGGUCGUCUUCCACGAUGUCGCCGUGCUGACCGACAAGCUCUUCCCCAUCGUGGAGGCCAUGCAGAAGCACUUCAGCGCUGGCUCCGGGACCUACUACAGCGACUCCAUCUUCUUCCUCUCAGUUGCCAUGCAUCAGAUCAUGCCCAAAGAGAUCCUGCAGAUAAUACAGCUGGACCUAGACCUAAAGUACAAGACCAACAUCCGGGAAUUGUUCGAGGAGUUUGACAAUUUCCUGCCAGGCGCCAUCAUUGGCAUCGCGAGAGAGAUGCAGCCGGUGUACAGAGCACUCAGCAUAGAAACCCCAGCUUGGAGCCCCGUAUCCUCAUUCAUCCCUGUAUCCAUCCGUGGUCCUCAGGAUCUGGUCCCGAGCCUGCUGAGGCUCCCCAUCCUGCACUUCCCUCCAUCCUCAGACCACCCGCUCCCUGGGCUCUACAGCAGCCUCCCGCCUGUCCUGCUGCUCCCAGCCCUGCUUCCUCCCAGCCGUCCUGCCCCAGCCAGUGGCCUUCCUCACACAGGAGCCACCUUCCUCUAACCCCGUUGUUACUCUCGGCAUCAAGUGCUGGGCUCUCUCCUCACCACCUCCACUCUUCACCUGCCUGACUCUUCACGUCUGGGCUUAGAUACCACUUUCUCCAGGAAACCUUCCUUGAAGCCCCAAGACCGGGUCUGUCACCUCUGCUGAGGCCCUGGCACGCUUAGAGUCCAAGAAGGCACCUCAGUCCCGGUGACCGCGGCUUGGAGGAGCAGCUGAGACGCCGGGCCACCUCCGAGGAGCUGCUCAUUCUCCGAACCAGACGGUCCCCAUAAAACCCUGGUAGGGCUGCUCCUUGGUCCAGCCCAGCACGACUGUGAUUGGAGCCGGCCUGUCAGCAAGAUCGUUUGCUCUGUGGAUUUUAUUCCUUUAUUUCUUUUCUUCUUAAAAAGAAAAGAAAAAGAGCAAAGACAGCGCCAUGGAUUGCCCAGCUGUAAGGCUUCAGGUGUGCAGAGCAGCCAGCUGUGUGGGGACGCCAGGUGUGCUGGGACGAGCUGGAUGUGUGGGUGGGCUGGAGGGCAGGCACAUCUCCCUCAGGUGUGCUCUAUUUAUAUAAAUGACCUCGGAGGCAGCUGCCCGUGUAUUGGCACAGGGGUGAGGAGAGGCUUAAAAAGUCACAAAGGGUCUCUCCGCUUCCUGGGGUGUCAUGGAGUUGCAGAGGCCUGUUGUGGGAGUGGCACAGUAAGCAGAGGUGGAUGAGAUGCCUGCCCUGGGUCGGAGGAGGAGGCCAGCCCACCCAGCUGCCCUGUUUUGCAUUCCAGCUUAGUGCUCACAGUGGCUGUGUCAUCACCACAGCCAAAGGGUGAGACUCCCAGAGGCCUGGGUGCAUGAACCAGCCCAUCGGAUGGUCAAAAUGAGCCCAAGGAUCGCAGUGGUCUGGCCACAUACACUCUGGACUCUGCCAGGUUGUCACCGUUCACAGAUUGUGGCUCAAAAAAUGGUGGGGCUUUGUGGAUACCCAGAAAUGGGUUUUUGAAACAAAAGUAACUGGGGGAAAAAAUCAGUACUGUGCUCACACACGGGUGCUAAUUUAAAGUGAGAUUAAUUAUUGGAGUUCAGUGACCACUCUGGGCAUAAAACCAUAGGCUUUCAGAACAGAAAAGGAUUCUAGGGCUGGUCAAUCCAUUUAACAGAUGGAGGAACUGAGGCCCUGGGAAGGGAAGUGACAUGUCCAAGUUCACCCUGAUGGCAUGUGCAGAGCCAGGUGAACUGGGCUCGGGGCCCCCUGCCUCCAUAGCAAGGUGGGAAGCGUGUGUGUUUGCUUUUCACACUGCUUUUCACGGAACGGGACGUGUCCACAGCUUCCAUCAUCUCCUCUGAUUGCGUUGAACAUUUUACCUGCAUUAUCUCAUGAUAACCUCCCAACAGCCCUGUUUCCAUAUGGGAAGCCUGAACGCAGAGAGCUUUGGGACCUUUUCCCGGGUACUAAGCCGAGGACCAGGAUUUGAACCUGGACAGUGUGCUGCCAGAACCCGCAUUCUUACCCCCAUCACACACAGAAUGUUCUUCAUGGCAAUGGAAAACGAAUAUACACCUGCCUCCCCUGCACCCGAGACUGACCGCUGCUCCCUGGGGAUGGGAGGUGGCAGAGCUGGGCUCUCCCUCCUGGCACAUUAAACGUUAAACAUGCUGCUUCAAGGAAGCGUUUCCCAGUGGUCCCUCCUUCCCCCACCCAAGACUGUGACAAAGUGAGAAGGUGCAGUUAGCAGCAUAAUGUUCAUAUAAAAUUUGCAAGUGGCUAUGCUACCUAUUUUAUAGCCAUUUUCAGGACAAAAUGAUAUCAUUGCUACCCUUAUGGUUUUUUACCUCUUUAUAAGAAUAACCAGAGUCCUGGUGCACGAAUUUGUGGACAGGUUGGGGGGGGUCCCUCUGGGUGGCCUGUGGGGAUUGGGCUGAAACUAGCUCUCUGACAUCCCCUGAGGGGUCCCAGAUUGCGA